UUGAACGCUGGCGGUAUGCUUAACACAUGCAAGUCGAACGGAAACGAUACUAGCUUGCUAGUAGGCGUCGAGUGGCGGACGGGUGAGUAACGCGUAGGAAUCUGCCUGAUAGUGGGGGAUAGCCCGAAGAAAUUCGGAUUAAUACCGCAUAAUCUAUUCGUAGUAAAGUGGGGGACUUUCGAGCCUCACGCUAUCAGAUGAGCCUGCGUAAGAUUAGCUUGUUGGUGGGGUAAAAGCCCACCAAGGCGACGAUCUUUAGCUGGUCUGAGAGGAUGAUCAGCCACAUCGGGACUGAGACACGGCCCGAACUCCUACGGGAGGCAGCAGUGGGGAAUAUUGGACAAUGGGGGCAACCCUGAUCCAGCAAUACCGCGUGUGUGAAGAAGGCCUGAGGGUUGUAAAGCACUUUCAAUUGUGAAGAAAAGUUAGCGGUUAAUAACCGUUAGCCUUGACGUUAACUUUAGAAGAAGCACCGGCUAACUCCGUGCCAGCAGCCGCGGUAAUACGGAGGGUGCAAGCGUUAAUCGGAAUUACUGGGCGUAAAGCGUGCGUAGGCGGUUUAUUAAGUCAGAUGUGAAAGCCCCGGGCUUAACCUGGGAACUGCAUUUGAAACUGGUCAACUAGAGUAUGGUAGAGGGAAAGUGGAAUUUCUGGUGUAGCGGUGAAAUGCGUAGAUAUCAGAAGGAACAUCAAUGGGCGAAGGCAGCUUUCUGGACCAAUACUGACGCUGAGGUACGAAAGCGUGGGUAGCAAACAGGAUUAGAUACCCUGGUAGUCCACGCCGUAAACGAUGAUAACUAGCCGUUGGGGGGAUUUACCCUUUAGUGGCGAAGCUAACGCGUUAAGUUAUCCGCCUGGGGAGUACGGCCGCAAGGUUAAAACUCAAAGGAAUUGACGGGGACCCGCACAAGCGGUGGAGCAUGUGGUUUAAUUCGAUGCAACGCGAAGAACCUUACCUGGUCUUGACAUCCUGCGAACUUUCUAGAAAUAGAUUGGUGCCUUCGGGAACGCAGUGACAGGUGCUGCAUGGCUGUCGUCAGCUCGUGUCGUGAGAUGUUGGGUUAAGUCCCGUAACGAGCGCAACCCCUAUCCUUAUUUGCCAGCACAUUAUGGUGGGAACUAUAAGGAGACUGCCGGUGAUAAACCGGAGGAAGGCGGGGACGACGUCAAGUCAUCAUGGCCCUUACGACCAGGGCUACACACGUGCUACAAUGGGAAGGACAAAGAGCCGCGAAGCCGCGAGGUGUAGCUAAUCUCAUAAACCUUUUCGUAGUCCGGAUUGGAGUCUGCAACUCGACUCCAUGAAGUCGGAAUCGCUAGUAAUCGUAGAUCAGAAUGCUACGGUGAAUACGUUCCCGGGUCUUGUACACACCGCC
Molecule: ribosomal RNA, 1376 nt
Filed under: uncultured bacterium
Lineage: Bacteria
Description: bacterial SSU rRNA
Rfam family: Bacterial small subunit ribosomal RNA
Source: RNAcentral